RNAcentral lists this ribosomal RNA (467 nucleotides) under uncultured bacterium. Its description in RNAcentral is "bacterial SSU rRNA". It matches the Rfam family "Bacterial small subunit ribosomal RNA", at positions 28 to 507 of the family's 1533-position model. The record is from RNAcentral.
GACGAACGCUGGCGGCGUGCCUAACACAUGCAAGUCGAACGGGAUCCAUGAGAGCUUGCUCUCGGAAGAUCUAGUGGCGAACGGGUGAGUAACACGUGAGAAACCUGCCCUGGAGUGGGGAAUAACUCGGGGAAACCCGAGCUAAUACCGCAUACCCUUGGAUGAUCGCAUGGUCGACCAAGGAAAGAUUUAUCGCUCUAGGAGGGUCUCGCGGCCUAUCAGCUAGUUGGUGGGGUAAUGGCCUACCAAGGCAACGACGGGUAGCUGGUUUGAGAGAACGAUCAGCCACACUGGGACUGAGACACGGCCCAGACUCCUACGGGAGGCAGCAGUGGGGAAUCUUGCGCAAUGGGCGAAAGCCUGACGCAGCAACGCCGCGUGCGGGAUGACGGCCUUCGUGGUUGUAAACCGCUUUCAGCAGGGACGAAAAUGACGGUACUGCAGAAGAAGCCCCGGCUAACUACGUG